UCGAACGUAAGAUGACUGUAGGUGAAAGCUUACAUCUCUUCGGAGCAUUUUACGAGGUGCUGCAUGGUGUCGUCAGCUCGUGCCGUGAGGUGUCGGGUUAAGUCCCAUAACGAGCGCAACCCUACCUUUAGUUGCCAUCAGGUAAUGCUGGGGACUCUAAAGGAACUGCCUACGCAAGUAGUGAGGAAGGCGGGGAUGACGUCAAAUCAGCACGGCCCUUACGUCCAGGGCUACACACGUGCUACAAUGGCCGAUACAGAGGGCAGCUACCUGGUGACAGGAUGCAAAUCUCCAAAGUCGGUCUCAGUUCGGAUCGGAGUCUGCAACCCGACUCCGUGAAGUUGGAUUCGCUAGUAAUCGCGCAUCAGCCAUGGCGCGGUGAAUACGUUCCCGGGCCUU
RNAcentral lists this ribosomal RNA (399 nucleotides) under uncultured Sphingobacteriales bacterium. RNAcentral's name for it is "bacterial SSU rRNA". It matches the Rfam family "Bacterial small subunit ribosomal RNA", at positions 981 to 1382 of the family's 1533-position model. Lineage: Bacteria; Pseudomonadati; Bacteroidota; Sphingobacteriia; Sphingobacteriales. The record is from RNAcentral.